AACGAACGCUGGCGGCAGGCCUAACACAUGCAAGUCGAACGCCCCGCAAGGGGAGUGGCAGACGGGUGAGUAACGCGUGGGAACCUUCCCAAAGGUGCGGAAUAGCUCAGGGAAACUUGGGGCAAUACCGCAUAAUGCCGAGAGGCAAAAGAUUUAUCGCCUUUGGAUGGGCCCGCGUCGGAUUAGCUAGUUGGUGAAGAAACGGCUCACCAAGGCGACGAUCCGUAGCCGGUUUGAGAGAAUGACCAGCCACACUGGGACUGAGACACGGCCCAGACUCCUACGGGAGGCAGCAGUGGGGAAUCUUGGACAAUGGGCGCAAGCCUGAUCCAGCCAUGCCGCGUGAGUGACGAAGGCCUUAGGGUUGUAAAGCUCUUUUGCCGGGGACGAUAAUGACGGUACCCGGAGAAUAAGUCCCGGCUAACUUCGUGCCAGCAGCCGCGGUAA
This 447-nucleotide ribosomal RNA is filed under the name uncultured bacterium. RNAcentral's name for it is "partial 16S ribosomal RNA". It matches the Rfam family "Bacterial small subunit ribosomal RNA", at positions 29 to 523 of the family's 1533-position model. The record is from RNAcentral.